Molecule: ribosomal RNA, 468 nt
Filed under: uncultured bacterium
Lineage: Bacteria
Description: partial 16S ribosomal RNA
Rfam family: Bacterial small subunit ribosomal RNA
Source: RNAcentral
GACGAACGCUGGCGGCGUGCUUAAUACAUGCAAGUCGAACGGAAAGGCCCUGCUUUUGUGGCUUUGUCGAUUGCGGAAGGGGUGGUAAAAACUUGAUUAUCCUCCCCCUGACUUUGGGUUAACUCCAGGAAACUGGGGCAAUUACCGGAUAUGAGCUCCUGCUGCAUGGUGGGGGUUGGUAAAUUUCGGCUGGUGUGGAUGGACUCGCUGCUUAUCAGCUUGUUGGGCGGGUAGUGGCUUACCAAGGCUUUGACGGGUAGGCUGCCUGAGAGGGUGACCGGCCACAAUGGGACUAAGAUACGGCGCAGAAGACUACGGGAGGCAAUAGGGGGGAAUAUUGAACAAUGAGGGGAAGCCUGAGGCAGAAGCGCCGCGUGCGGGAUGAUGUCCUUCGGGGUAUAAACAGCUAUCGACUGUAACGAAGCGGGAGUGACGGUAACUGGUAAGGAAGCACCGGCUAACUACGUG